GGAAUUUCUAUCGGAAAAAAUACUGAAAAAUAAAAAUGGAGGGGAAUUCUGCUUGGCAUUAGUGUUCUUUGAUCUCAUUGUUUAGUUGGGAAUUUCUGAAAAUUUCAAACCUUACACUUGGUGAAAAUGGCCUGGGCUUUUGGGUUCUGAAGCCUAGUUUUAAGCUUGUUGGAAUCCCGUUUCAUUGUUGAUAUCUUGCUAGAUUACUGCUGCUGCUCUUUGCUGAUUCUUCACUUCUUUGUUUCUUUUUUCACUUCCAGGUAUCAUUCUGCACUUUGAUUAAUUUGUGAAGUGUGAAUGUGCAAUGGAACAUGGACACAUUGUGGAAGAUUUAUGUAAUUGGACUUUUGAUUCCCUGCUAUUCCAGUUCAUUCAAUCGUUGUAUUAGUUUAAUGUUAUGAGAAACUUAUUAGUUUUCUAUGUAGUAUAAGAUUUAUAGUUGAUUUCCUGUUUGAUUAUGUUGAAGUUUCUGAAUGUUGGACACUGUAAUAGUGGCAUGACAUGUUUUGUUUAUUGCUUGUAUUGAGGUUUUGAUUCAAGGCUUAAAGCCCAACAUACUAAUUUAUAAUUUGGCAUGGGAAUUUGAAUAGGAUAAAAGGCUGAGUAAUACUAGCUUGUAUUGAAACAAAUGAUUUUCUUAGGCAUGUGAUUUGAUCUUAUAUCCCCUUUAAAGCUUAUUGGUUCACUUGAUAUUUGUCAGGUAUUGUGCUUAGUCAAUAGGUUUCAAACGGUCCCUUCAAGAGUUUUAAAGUGUUCGAAUAAAGGAUGUUCUGAAUUUUAUGCAUUUUGUAUUUCAAUUAGUUCAUGUCGUCCUUGCUUAUAUUAAUGUUUACCAUGUUAUUUUUAAGUUUGGAUCCUAUGGAGCUUUGUUUAAGACCCAAAGUCCCUGGAGCUUAAGAUGGUUUGGCUCCGCAGAGAUUCGAUCUUUGGCAAAUACGUGCGAGCAUCCCUCCCUUUAUUGAAUUUGGGCUCAAUGGGAAGAUGGCACACUUUUACUAUAGUUGUGUUUGUCCCGA
RNAcentral lists this long non-coding RNA (1016 nucleotides) under Nicotiana tabacum (common tobacco). Its description in RNAcentral is "long non-coding RNA (NTAB_LNC000604)". The record is from RNAcentral. Lineage: Eukaryota; Viridiplantae; Streptophyta; Magnoliopsida; Solanales; Solanaceae.